Triticum dicoccoides is the source of this 3680-nucleotide long non-coding RNA. RefSeq lists it as uncharacterized. The record is from RefSeq and is a predicted model, not a curated record. Lineage: Eukaryota; Viridiplantae; Streptophyta; Magnoliopsida; Poales; Poaceae. The transcript is spliced from 6 exons.
CCUGCCCUCGUGUCCAUCCUCCUCCCCCAGCUCCCAGAUGGGUGAGAACCCUAGCCACACUGUCUCACUCGCAGCCCUUGAUUCGCCCCUCCUCUCUCUUCCGUCUCUGGAUCUCGCCCCUCGCUCGCCGCGGGCCUUGCCGACCUAAGCCCCCCGAUCCGGGAGACUCUAGAUCCGCCGCGCGGGCGACGGCAAUGGCGUAGCUCGCGCCCCCCAGCCGUCGGGACGCGAUGGGCCGCCGCGGAGGGCUCCUCUUCCUCCUGCUGCGGAUGCUUCUCCCCGCCGCUGCUGCGCUCCAAGAGUAAAAGGCUAACAAAAAUAUUAGGUCGCCGGCGCAGACUGUAAGGCCGUCUUCCUCCCUGGCCUCUUCCACACCGUCAAGGAAGCCAUGGAGCUCAUCCUUGAGAAGCUUCUCUACUAGGGUGACCAAGUGGUUGACACUAAGGCCACAGUGGUGGCACUUGUGGUGCCCAACGCCUGUUGUGGCGCGCUCAUCGGCAAAGCAGGGGCGUUGUUUUUCCAUUAAGACAUGGCUUGAUUUGAACUAUUUGAUAGUAGUACGACUGAAGCGGCAAUAUAGAAGGAGAGGUUGUAUGCUUGGGGAGGCGGCAAGUCCAGGGAAUCUUGCGCAUAAAAUGAGAAAAUGACCAAGAAUUGCAUGUGAGGGAAUAGCAUGAGUUUAUCCCGAAUGUAUUUCAGUGUUUGUCAAGUCAUAGGAUGUAGCAACAAUGGAUAAUAAACAGUAUUUUUAUCUUCGAUAACCCGAGGCUGGCCCUUCCUCAAGCAUCACCCCCGCCCCGUCCGGUUCUCGCUCCGAGGGGUGAUGGUGGUGAGGAGGAUAGCUGCGACGCGCUUGGCAGGGGGAGAGUGGCGGACGGUCCGUGGUCGCCGCGUGUGAGAGAAGGCGAGGAAGGCGACCCGAGGUGAGUUGCCUCCAAUCCGCUUGUACUUGGUUUUUUUAACAUAUUGGCCUUCUGGGCACUUCGUAUAGAGCCCAAUAUGCGGGCAGGCUUUUGAUUACUCCAGGUUGAGUACUUGGUUUAAUCAUAUACGGACAUGCUUUAUUUUCUGUCAUUAAUGCACAAUACUUGGCAAUUCUUUUGACAUUCUCUUUAUACUACUGAGAUCUUGCUGGCACUGAAAAUAUGUAAUAUAGUUAUAUUGUCGUCCAAUUAUCUUCUUGCCGUAUUUAGUAGCUUAAAAAACAGAACCUUCCUCUGGUUUUUUACCCUUUCCUCACUGUUAUUUUUAUGUACAUAAACAAUAUACAAGUUCGGUAUAUAUAGGGUAUGACCAAGUUGGGCGACAGCUGGUUUUAGUGUUCGUGUUGAGUUCUGUCUUCGGUACCUCCAGUUUCAGUGCAAUACUUUUGGGUUUGUACUUUCUGGUUAAAAGUGGUUGAUGGACAAACAAUUAAAUUCAUUCAGCUAUCUCCAGCACUAAAUAAUAACAUACUGAGCCAACGACCUAUUGGUCCAGUGUGUGUCGCAUUUUGUACUUGCAUUUAGUAACCUACUGUGAUGUUAUAGAAGGUAUCAUAUUGGUGAUAGUCUGCAACCCAUCAUUCUUGUCAUAUGUGAUCUUAGAUUUUACUGGUAUCAUCAUGCCGGUCGAUUAGAAGAAGACAUAAUUGUUUAUGCCAGAUGUGCAUGCUCAAAGAUUUUGGUCAGCAACUUCUGGUGUUUAUCAACGAAUUCUGAAAAAAGGUGAGUUGUUAUUUGACAUUGGACCUUUAUAUCUUUUACAUGACAAUUUGCUGCCCACAGUGACAAAUAUCAUAGGAAGCUUGGUGUUUCUGCUUUGGAAUUUAUCUUUUAUUUACUAAUAUGCAUUCUUGUGAUGUUGUCUUCUACUGAUUUACAGGUCCUUGCGGUUGUUGUUCCCACGACUGUGUCGUUCGCGUUUGUACAAGGUGAGCUCUCUUAUGUUCGUCUGUUUACUCGGUCGUUCCUAGAGAAUAUAUUUCACGUGCUCUCUAUUGGUUCAUAGUGUAUCAUGCUCUCGCUUUCUUACUAUCAAGGAGAUGGAUAGUUAUAGAUUCUAGGCAUGUCCUUGGUCCCUGCAAAAGGAGUUUUUUGUUGCCUUACUUGCUUUAUUUGGUACGUUGCUCUUUUCCACUGUCGAUCAGGGACCAAAUUUGGUAUCAACCCUUGUCCUUGCUCUUUGCAGAAAUGGUUUUUGUUCUUUUGUUUGAUAUACUGGUGCUAAAAGACGAGUAGUGAGUCAGUGGCAGGGUAGUCGAGAUGGAUCUAUCUAAGUACUUAUAUAAGUAUGUUGUUGGUCUGCUUGGUUUGGUUUAUCCAGUUUUUGCGUUUAAAUGAACUAACUCAAAUUCAUAUUUAUGCUUGAUGGGUGAUUGGAUGAGAUCUUCAGAAAGGUGGUUUUAUUUACACAAGUAAACGCAAAUUCACGUCAUUUAGUUAUGGUGUGUGUGUAUAUACAGUUGAUGCUGCACUGAUCUAUAACUUGGUGUUUCUGGAACCCUAAAAAAAACUUGGUGUUUCUGGAAUUUGUAGAGUGUUUGUCUGGUAAAUGUCAUCGGUGACUUCCCUGAUAUUUCAGGAGCUCAAUUUGCAAUGCUUCUCAAACAGCUAGGUUGUUUAUCUAUUAUUUUAUUCUCCAUGUCAUCUCUGCAUCUUUUUUCUUCAGUUUAGUUAUGUGGUUUGCUAUGCAACCUUCGGUGUUGUGGUGCAUAUAACUUCUGAUGGUUUCAUUUCUGGUGGCAAAGCUAUCACCUUUUGUUGCAUCAUCAGCAUUGCUUACUUUUACUUGGGAGUAGCUUGGCUUUUAAAUUGCAGUGUUCAUAGCUAUAAUGUUUUUGUGUAUUACAUCUUACAGAUUAUUGAAAUCCCAUGGCUUUACCAGAUUGGUCAUUUUGCACCCAGCUUUCAUAGAAGAUAAAGGUUUAUUUUGUUUUGUUCAGACCUGUUUCGACUGCUGAGUUCAAUUUGCAACUCUCGUUACUUCAAAGCUUAUACAGUUAUACUACACUUCACGAGAAAUACUCGCGCAUAUGUUUUCUUAUUCAUCUCAGCACCCAUCCACAUAGAACCAUCAUUAGAAUGAGCAAAGCGUCACUUCAUUUAGAGAAGAAAGAAAGGAGAAGUAUGGCGCUAUUCCUUGAUGCUGAAGUCCUCGAAGAAAUUACAUGAAGGUGGCGAGUGACCUGAUCUUGACUAACAACCUUUUCUCUUCAGUGGUUAAUGAUUUUCUGAAGUUUCUUUGCAUGGAAAAGAGUAUGUCUAUGUUAGACCUUAUAGAAGCAUCUAUAUGCAUUUUCCCUAUGCCUGCUGCAAGAUUCAUUAUGCACACACUAUUAACUGUAAGAUUAAACUGGUAUUUAAAGAUGAGUUUAUUUCAGGUUCUACUCCCUCCGUUUUUAAAUAUAACCCUUUUAUACAUUUCAAUACGGACUACAUAUUGAUGUAUAUAGACAUAUUUUAGAGUAUAGAUUCACCUUUUUUUCCGUAUGCAAUCCCUAUUGAAAUCUCUAAAAGGUCUUAUAUUUAUGAAUAGAGGGAGUACAUUCCAAUCGCUCAUGCGGGAGAGGCUGUACGCUCAUGCUGUUCGUUUCUUGGCCUUUAUGUUGUUGCUACCUGUAUCUGUUGUAUUCCUAUGGUGGACUGUGAGAUGUAUGUCGCUGGUUGUGUUGAGUUGUUAUAUGGGAUCUGUUUGUGAUA